AUCGCUUCUCGGCCUUUUGGCUAAGAUCAAGUGUAAAAUCUAUGUUUUAUCAGGAGCCUGACCAAUAUGACUUUAAGUGAAGUCAGACAGGUAUAUUGGUAAAUAAGAGAUGGAAUAGAAAGAAAGAAAUUUAUUUUAUAAUUAUUUUAAUUCACCUCAUAUUACCUAUGUAGGAGUGUCCUAUU
Molecule: small nuclear RNA, 185 nt
Organism: Hippopotamus amphibius kiboko
Lineage: Eukaryota; Metazoa; Chordata; Mammalia; Artiodactyla; Hippopotamidae
Product: U2 spliceosomal RNA
Exons: 1
Source: RefSeq, a predicted model, not a curated record